This 495-nucleotide ribosomal RNA is filed under the name uncultured bacterium. RNAcentral describes it as "partial 16S ribosomal RNA". It matches the Rfam family "Bacterial small subunit ribosomal RNA", at positions 28 to 507 of the family's 1533-position model. The record is from RNAcentral.
GACGAACGCUGGCGGCGUGCCUAAUACAUGCAAGUAGAACGCUGAAGGAGGAGCUUGCUUCUCUGGAUGAGUUGCGAACGGGUGAGUAACGCGUAGGUAACCUGCCUGGUAGCGGGGGAUAACUAUUGGAAACGAUAGCUAAUACCGCAUAAUAUUGACUAUUGCAUGAUAGUCAGUUGAAAGGUGCAACUGCACCACUACCAGAUGGACCUGCGUUGUAUUAGCUAGUUGGUGGGGUAACGGCUCACUAAGGCGACGAUACAUAGCCGACCUGAGAGGGUGAGCGGCCACCCUGGGACUGUGACACGGCCCAGACUGCUACAGGAGGCAGCAGUAGGGAAUCUGCGGCAAUGGACGGAAGUCUGACCGAGCAACGCCGAGUGAGUGAAGAAGGUUGUCGGAUCGGAAAGCUCUGUUGUAAGAGAAGAACGAGUGUGAGAGUGGAAAGCUCACACUGUGACGGUAUCUUACCAGAAAGGGACGGCUAACUACGUG